AUUUAAAGGGACCACUCUAUUCCAUAUAUCAUUGAUCCAGUCAAUCCGUAUUCAAAUGAAGCUGCAAAAUGUCGCUGGGAUGAGAUAAACCGGGAGGCGACCAAGUUCCUGCAGAAACCAUUGUUGAAAAAUACUACUUCGAAAUUUAUUUAACUCAAUAUGAUACAUUAUUAGUACAUAUAGGACUUUCAUUUAGAAAAACAUUGAUAUAAACCUGUCAUUUGAUUUGUAAUUAUAUUUUUUAGUUUCAGUUAAUUGACAAUAUGCUAUGAUUUAUCAUAUACUUAGUAUUUUAUGAUAGCUUUUCCAUAUGUGCAAUGAGUGGAAGUACACAAGCCAUAAUUUCUCUACCAGGCUGAUAACCCAUAUCAGGGGCAUUUCGUGCACAAAACCCAUAAUAAUGCCUCUCGUGCAAGUUACUUCCGGUAUUUACGGUAUCGUUGUUUACUUUUACAUUGUGACUUUAAACAUUUUUUAUGACGACGUAAAUAAUUACGGGAACUUUUGUAGGAUAGUUUAGUACUUGCUAACAAAUGCCAUUGACAAUUAUGAAUCAUUUUAUAGUACAACAAACAUGGAAUAAUAAUGAUCAUAUUGACACUCUUCCAAAAAUUCAAUGUUUCAAAAUGCUUCUUUAGGAAAUAACUAUGAUUUACUUCACCAGUCUACUGUAUUAUGGAUUUCUUGUGUGUCCUUAAUUACUUGUGUAUAAAUUUAAAAGAUAAGAAAUUAAAAUAAAUAGUUAAAUAA
RNAcentral lists this long non-coding RNA (750 nucleotides) under Mytilus galloprovincialis (Mediterranean mussel). The record is from RNAcentral. Lineage: Eukaryota; Metazoa; Mollusca; Bivalvia; Mytilida; Mytilidae.